CCUACGGGUGGCAGCAGUGAGGAAUAUUGGUCAAUGGUCGGGAGACUGAACCAGCCAAGCCGCGUGAGGGAUGAAGGUACAGAGUAUCGUAAACCUCUUUUGUCAGGGAACAAAUGCGGGGACGUGUCCCCGGAUGAGUGUACCUGAAGAAAAAGCAUCGGCUAACUCCGUGCCAGCAGCCGCGGUAAUCCGGAGGAUGCGGGCGUGAUCCGGAUUUAUUGGGGUUAAAGGGUGGGCAGGCGGUCUGUUAAGUCAGCGGUCAAAGCCCGGGGCUCAACCCCGGCCCGCCGUUGAUACUGGCAGACGAGAGUAAGAGAGAGGGAUGCGGAAUGCGCGGUGUAGCGGUGAAAUGCAUAGAUAUCGCGCAGAACUCUGAUGGCGAAGGCAGCAUGCCGGCUCCACACUGACGCUGAGGCACGAAGGCGUGGGUAUCGAACGGGAUUAGAUACCCGUGUAGUC
RNAcentral lists this ribosomal RNA (459 nucleotides) under uncultured bacterium. RNAcentral describes it as "partial 16S ribosomal RNA". It matches the Rfam family "Bacterial small subunit ribosomal RNA", at positions 338 to 795 of the family's 1533-position model. The record is from RNAcentral.